Molecule: ribosomal RNA, 1464 nt
Filed under: Staphylococcus aureus
Lineage: Bacteria; Bacillati; Bacillota; Bacilli; Caryophanales; Staphylococcaceae
Description: partial 23S ribosomal RNA
Rfam family: Bacterial large subunit ribosomal RNA
Source: RNAcentral
AAAAUGUACCGGGGCUAAACAUAUUACCGAAGCUGUGGAUUGUCCUUUGGACAAUGGUAGGAGAGCGUUCUAAGGGCGUUGAAGCAUGAUCGUAAGGACAUGUGGAGCGCUUAGAAGUGAGAAUGCCGGUGUGAGUAGCGAAAGACGGGUGAGAAUCCCGUCCACCGAUUGACUAAGGUUUCCAGAGGAAGGCUCGUCCGCUCUGGGUUAGUCGGGUCCUAAGCUGAGGCCGACAGGCGUAGGCGAUGGAUAACAGGUUGAUAUUCCUGUACCACCUAUAAUCGUUUUAAUCGAUGGGGGGACGCAGUAGGAUAGGCGAAGCGUGCGAUUGGAUUGCACGUCUAAGCAGUAAGGCUGAGUAUUAGGCAAAUCCGGUACUCGUUAAGGCUGAGCUGUGAUGGGGAGAAGACAUUGAGUCUUCGAGUCGUUGAUUUCACACUGCCGAGAAAAGCCUCUAGAUAGAAAAUAGGUGCCCGUACCGCAAACCGACACAGGUAGUCAAGAUGAGAAUUCUAAGGUGAGCGAGCGAACUCUCGUUAAGGAACUCGGCAAAAUGACCCCGUAACUUCGGGAGAAGGGGUGCUCUUUAGGGUUAACGCCCAGAAGAGCCGCAGUGAAUAGGCCCAAGCGACUGUUUAUCAAAAACACAGGUCUCUGCUAAACCGUAAGGUGAUGUAUAGGGGCUGACGCCUGCCCGGUGCUGGAAGGUUAAGAGGAGUGGUUAGCUUCUGCGAAGCUACGAAUCGAAGCCCCAGUAAACGGCGGCCGUAACUAUAACGGUCCUAAGGUAGCGAAAUUCCUUGUCGGGUAAGUUCCGACCCGCACGAAAGGCGUAACGAUUUGGGCACUGUCUCAACGAGAGACUCGGUGAAAUCAUAGUACCUGUGAAGAUGCAGGUUACCCGCGACAGGACGGAAAGACCCCGUGGAGCUUUACUGUAGCCUGAUAUUGAAAUUCGGCACAGCUUGUACAGGAUAGGUAGGAGCCUUUGAAACGUGAGCGCUAGCUUACGUGGAGGCGCUGGUGGGAUACUACCCUAGCUGUGUUGGCUUUCUAACCCGCACCACUUAUCGUGGUGGGAGACAGUGUCAGGCGGGCAGUUUGACUGGGGCGGUCGCCUCCUAAAAGGUAACGGAGGCGCUCAAAGGUUCCCUCAGAAUGGUUGGAAAUCAUUCAUAGAGUGUAAAGGCAUAAGGGAGCUUGACUGCGAGACCUACAAGUCGAGCAGGGUCGAAAGACGGACUUAGUGAUCCGGUGGUUCCGCAUGGAAGGGCCAUCGCUCAACGGAUAAAAGCUACCCCGGGGAUAACAGGCUUAUCUCCCCCAAGAGUUCACAUCGACGGGGAGGUUUGGCACCUCGAUGUCGGCUCAUCGCAUCCUGGGGCUGUAGUCGGUCCCAAGGGUUGGGCUGUUCGCCCAUUAAAGCGGUACGCGAGCUGGGUUCAGAACGUCGUGAGACAGUUC